RNAcentral lists this ribosomal RNA (505 nucleotides) under Kocuria sp. Br-MWM02. RNAcentral describes it as "bacterial SSU rRNA". It matches the Rfam family "Bacterial small subunit ribosomal RNA", at positions 45 to 562 of the family's 1533-position model. The record is from RNAcentral. Lineage: Bacteria; Bacillati; Actinomycetota; Actinomycetes; Micrococcales; Micrococcaceae.
UGCUUACACAUGCAAGUCGAACGAUGAUGCCCAGCUUGCUGGGCGGAUUAGUGGCGAACGGGUGAGUAAUACGUGAGUAACCUGCCCUUGACUCUGGGAUAAGCCUGGGAAACUGGGUCUAAUACUGGAUACUACCUCGCACCGCAUGGUGGGUGGUGGAAAGGGUUUUACUGGUUUUGGAUGGGCUCACGGCCUAUCAGCUUGUUGGUGGGGUAAUGGCUCACCAAGGCGACGACGGGUAGCCGGCCUGAGAGGGUGACCGGCCACACUGGGACUGAGACACGGCCCAGACUCCUACGGGAGGCAGCAGUGGGGAAUAUUGCACAAUGGGCGGAAGCCUGAUGCAGCGACGCCGCGUGAGGGAUGACGGCCUUCGGGUUGUAAACCUCUUUCAGUAGGGAAGAAGCGAGAGUGACGGUACCUGCAGAAGAAGCGCCGGCUAACUACGUGCCAGCAGCCGCGGUAAUACGUAGGGCGCAAGCGUUGUCCGGAAUUAUUGGGCGUA